This 4071-nucleotide long non-coding RNA is filed under the name Sus scrofa (pig). Its description in RNAcentral is "lncRNA (ENSSSCG00060016693.1)". The record is from RNAcentral. Lineage: Eukaryota; Metazoa; Chordata; Mammalia; Artiodactyla; Suidae.
CUUUCUCUCUUUCUUUCUCUCUUUCUCUCUUUCUUUCUUUUGGCUGCCCCAUGGCACAUGGAAUUCCCAGGUCAGGGAUCAUAUCCCAGCUACAGCUGUGGCAAUGCUGGAUCCUUUAACCCACUGUGAUGGGAUGGGGAUUGAACCUGCAUCCCAGUGCUCCAGGGACACAGCUGAUCCUGGUGUACCACAGCAGGAGCUCGAAACAUGUUUACAUUCUUUAGAUGAACUGCCCUAGACUUGAGAAGGGUCAUGCAUUGUCCUUACAAAGGGGGACGCCAGGAUCCUCCUGCUGUGCCAGUCCCUGAAGAGGGUGCUUUUAAUGACAGUACUCUAAGUAAGCUACAAGUCCACAGAGUCCUGCGACUUCUGGAGGGCAGAUGGUGGUUGUGGUGUCGGCAAGUAAUUUACUUUGGAAAAAAAAAAACUACACAUAAAUUUUAAUCCUCAUCCCAGACACAGUAUCAGACAUCCUAAUCCUAAUCACAAAUACACACUCCAGGAGUGGGUAGGAAGCAGAUAAUCAAAUGCCCACACUCCAGCUGUCUUUCUCUCCAUCCACAACAGAGAAUUUGUUAAUUUGCCCAAAGGGGGUUAUAAAAGUGAUUUUAUUGAUGACAUUUGUUUUGGAAGAUGGGUUGGCUAAAAUUUAGUGAGCCUUUCACCUCUCACCUCUUAGAAUGGCACCUAAGGUUUGAACUGAAUGGUCCUACAUCCACCUUUUGACUCAGAAGGUUCUGGUUGCCUGAUGCCAAUCAGGAUAUUACUUCCAGGCUAUGGUUGUGAUUUUGUCUUGACAUUAAUAUAUAAUGCCAGCUAUGAGGAGAUUUCAGGAGGUUAAUGAACAUGGUGUAGGCCUGUUUGGGGCUUUAUUUUUAAUACAUGUUUAGUACAUGUUUGAAUUUGGUCUGUGACGUAUUUCCAUUUAAUCGAGUUACCUUUCCUAAGUGUAUGGGCUAGGGGUGGGGAGAGCUAUAGCCCUCACUUAUUUCGACGAGUGGUGGUUACUGAUAUUUACCAAAAAGAACUUACUGGUUAGUAUGAUAACACUGACCAAAGUCUGUUUUUAAUAGCAUCAUUUGUCCCCUUUCCUGGAUUUAAAAGUGAAAAAUGAGUCCAGUGGCCUCUGGCCUUGAAUGGCCCCCUGUGCUGAGAGAAGUCUGUAUUCAUCAUCUGAAAGCAGCGUCAGCAGCACAGUCAGAAAAGAGCAAUGUCACAGGUGUGCUCAGGGCCGGGGUUGCAUUAACCAGAGGUGAUUAUAACAGGGGGCAUUUGAGAGUCAACACAGAGCAAGCCCUGUGGUAGGUGUGAGCCCUAGCUUACCUCAUUUAGGCCUGGUAACAUCUCAGUGAGACACACAUAUGAAGAGAUUAUAAAAAUAUAUAUAAAAAUUAUAUAUAUAAAAAAAGACAGGAAGUUCCCUUUGUGGCUAAGCAGUUAAUGAACCCAACUAGGAUCCAUGAGGUUGCAGGUUUGAUGCCUGGCCUCACUCAGUGGGUUAAGGAUCCUGCAUUGCUGUGACUGUGGUGCAGGCCAGCAGCUAGCCACCCUUCACAAGAUUCCUGCUAUAAGAGGAAACAAAGACAUAAUCUGGAGAGGUCAUAAAGCUAAAAAUGUGACCUCAAAGCCAAGCCAACAGGAGGACUUGAAAGAGUGUUGCCCCCAAAAUCAAUAAUUUCACAAGCAUAUAUUGUUCAGGAUUAAAAAUAUCAAAUGAAUUAAAAAUUGAAAACUAUUACAUUUGGUAACAAGUGGAGGCUUAUCGAUAACACCAAGGAUGAUUCUAUUAAGGAUUAAACAGCAUAGUUGUGAACUGAAAACCAAAAGAGGUACUCUUAGGAUUUUUCAGAGCUCCAGGUCUAAGUCUUGACAGAUUCAGUUUUGUUCCCACUUCCUCUUUCAAUUUCAUUUUUUGACCAUUGCAGGUGUGAAAAGAAGGUCAAGGGGCCCGAGAGGAGGUCAGAAUGAAGCUGAUAAAGUGAGAAUGGGCUGCCAGGUCAGGGACAUAGGAAUCAGGGCUGGGGGCGUAGAAGCAGAUGCAGAGCCCAGAGGCAAACUCAAGAGAAGCAAUGAUGAUAUAGGCAGACUAGACAAUGAAGCUUCUCCCCACUCCUGGAGAAGAGACUUUGCUGUUUCAUACAAAACCAUGGCCACUUUGGUUGGCCACCUAACAAAACCCUAACCCUAAUCAAGCCUUAACCCUAACCAAACCCUAACACUAACUUAAGCCUAACUGAAACCUAACCCUAACUGAACCCUAGCACUGACCUAACCCUAACCCUAAAUCUGUGCAAAUGGUGGUGAUGAAGUUUUGAAUGAGUGGAGUGCUUUUGUCUCCAAAUGUCCAUCAUUGCACAGAGGACACACUUCUGUGCCUCUGUUCCUAUGUUUUGUCAGACAGCCAAUCAGAAUGGAGGAGGGGCCCACUGGGGUUUGGUUGCUCUCAAAGUGGAGACAUGUCCCAGAUGCCAGGCCUGCCUCUCCAGAUGUGCUUUGCCAAGGGUGUUAGGUUAAGGGACUAACAUCUUUUCUUGAGGUCAGGGAGUCUAUUAGUGGGGUGUCUGUAUCCUGUAUAGGAGAGCACAGUAUCUUUGAGGUUCCUUUUCUCUUCUCUCUCCACUUUCCAUCUUUCUACUACAAUGAAAUUAUUUCAGCAUCCUGCCAAUUGUGUCACCCCUUCUUAUUGCCAAAGUAUAAUUUUCAAAAAGUUAAAAGCAUGACUCUCAUUGCAAACAUAAAAUGAACACAGACCAACACUUUCAUUCAACUCAUUAAUUCAUGAUGAAACUAAUAAGAUGUUAAGACCAUCUCAAAGGAGAAUCUGACAGAAAAAUAGGUACAGAUACAGAUUAAUCAGGUAUGCUGGAAUGUAUUUGCUAAUAGAUGCAAAAUUGAUCAAUAUUCUAUAGGGGGUAUCUCUAUAGACCUAGGUUAAUUUGCAUUGCUUUGGACAAGAAUGGUUUGCAUUACUAUCCGUUUUCUACAAGUCACCUUUAAAAAUGUACAAUUCAUGGGACCUAAUCAAAUUUAUAAACUUUUGCACAGAAAAGGAAACCAUAAAUAAAAUGAAAAUACAACAUAUGGACUAGGAGGAAAUAUUUGCAAAUGACAUGACUGACAAGGGCUUAAUUUCUGAAAUAUACAAACAGCUCAUACAACUCAAUAACAACAACAACUCAAUCCAAUCAAAAAAUGAGCAGAAGACCUAAAUAAACAUUUCUCCACAGAAGACACACAUGUGGCCAAUAGGCACACAAAAAGAUGCUCAGUAUCACUAAUUAUUACAGAAAUGCAAACCAAAACUACACUGAGGUACCACCUCACAUCAGUUAUUAAAAAGUCUACAAAUAACAAAUCCUGGAGAGGGUGUGGAGAAAAGGAAACUCUCCUCCACUGUUGGCAGGAAUGCAAAUUGGUGUAGCCACUAUGGAAAACAGUAUGGAGGUUUCUCAAAAAACUAAAAAUAGAGUUGCCAUGUAAUCCAGCAAUCCCAUUCCUGGGCACAUAUCCCAGGAUACUCUAAUUCAAAAAGAUACAUGACCCCAAUGUUCACAGCAGCACUGUUUAUAGCAACCAAGACAUGGAAACAAACUAAAUGGCCAUCGAGAGAUGAAUGGAUAAAGAUGUGGUAUACACACACACACACACACACACACACACACACACACACACACACACACACUGGAAUACUACUCAGCCAUAAAAAAGAAUGAAAUAAUGCCACUGGCAGCAACAUGGAUGAACCUAGAGAUUAUCAUACUAAGUGACGCAAGUCAGAAAGAGAAAGACACAUACCAUUUGAUAUCACUUAUAUGCUGGAUCUAAUAAAGUGACAUAAACUAACUCAGGUACAAAACAGAAACAGACUCACCAAUACAGACAACAGAAUUGUGGUUGCCAAGGGGGAGGGGAGUGGGGAGGGAAGGACUGGGAAUGUGGGGUUAGCCAAUGCAAACUAUUACAUACAGAAUGGAUAAACUACAGGGUCCUACUGGGUAGCACAGAGAACCAUAUUCAAUAGCCAGUAAUAAACCAUAAUGGAAAGGAAUAUGAAAAAGAAUAUAUAUAUAU